GAAGAUUUAGUUAAAUAAUAACAUUAGAAUGUCACACUAAAAUUAUCAUAUAUGAUAAUCUUCU
This 64-nucleotide transfer RNA is filed under the name Sigmella schenklingi biguttata. RNAcentral describes it as "tRNA-Asp". Lineage: Eukaryota; Metazoa; Arthropoda; Insecta; Blattodea; Blattellidae. The record is from RNAcentral.